AUUGAACGCUGGCAGCAGGCUUAACACAUGCAAGUCGAGCGGAGUGAUGGUGCUUGCACUAUCACUUAGCGGCGGACGGGUGAGUAAUGCUUAGGAAUCUGCCUAUUAGUGGGGGACAACAUCUCGAAAGGGAUGCUAAUACCGCAUACGUCCUACGGGAAAAAGCAGGGGAUCACUUGUGACCUUGCGCUAAUAGAUGAGCCUAAGUCGGAUUAGCUAGUUGGUGGGGUAAAGGCCUACCAAGGCGACGAUCUGUAGCGGGUCUGAGAGGAUGAUCCGCCACACUGGGACUGAGACACGGCCCAGGCUCCUACGGGAGGCAGCAGUGGGGAAUAUUGGACAAUGGGGGGAACCCUGAUCCAGCCAUGCCGCGUGUGUGAAGAAGGCCUUAUGGUUGUAAAGCACUUUAAGCGAGGAGGAGGCUCUUUUGGUUAAUACCCAAGAUGAGUGGACGUUACUCGCAGAAUAAGCACCGGCUAACUCUGUGCCAGCCGCCGCAGUAA
Molecule: ribosomal RNA, 503 nt
Filed under: uncultured bacterium
Lineage: Bacteria
Description: partial 16S ribosomal RNA
Rfam family: Bacterial small subunit ribosomal RNA
Source: RNAcentral